Long non-coding RNA from Gavialis gangeticus (Gharial), 758 nucleotides. RefSeq lists it as uncharacterized. NCBI's taxonomy places the organism in Eukaryota, Metazoa, Chordata, Crocodylia, Gavialidae. The transcript has 2 exons. The record is from RefSeq and is a predicted model, not a curated record.
AUCCUGGGGGUGCUGAAGAGCACAGCAGGGAAGGGGCAGGCGCUCUCAAACAGGGGCUGCAGCUCACCAAACCUCCCGAGGCUUCGUGGCAACACUGGUGUUUGGCUGGUUCUGCCCCAUUGUGCCAUCAGCACAGAGAAAGCAAAGGGUCUAUGUCAUAGAUAAUAAUCGGUUCCUGACCACACCUAGUCCAUUAGCAUCCUUGGGCAGCCUGUAAAUGCAACCUCACUCCUCCUGCUCUCUGGAUUAGCAGAUCAGAAGGGAUCAAAAUACAUCACAAACCUCUCAGAAGCCAGACACUGAGGGGAGAGCACACAGCAACAGCAGCGGAGGAGAACAAACUUUCAGCGGUGGAUUCAACCAUCUCUCUGGAGACCAGGAGGCGCCGGCGGGGAAGCAGAGGGCACGGCAGACGCCCAGCCCGGCCUGCAGGAACCAUGCAGGAGCCCUUUGCUGUUCACUUCCUCAAGGUGCUGAAGGAGCUCCUGGCCUUCGUGCUGUUCAGCUACACGGUGCUGAUCGGGGCACUGCUGCUGGCCGGCUGGACCACGUAUUUCCUGGUGCUCAAGUGAGAGUCUCUUCUGUCCCCCGAGCCACGGACGAGCCCCAGCAUGGGCAAGCAGCACCCCAUGAGCCCUGCUCCUGGUGCCGCCACCACGCUCCACAGCGAGCCUUGGUGCUGGUCCGCGCCGAGCGCAGCCACGUCUCCUGCUGUAAGACACAAAGAUUAAAAUCAUCUCCCCCUUUGCUGCCCUCCA